Molecule: ribosomal RNA, 2919 nt
Filed under: Acinetobacter baumannii
Lineage: Bacteria; Pseudomonadati; Pseudomonadota; Gammaproteobacteria; Moraxellales; Moraxellaceae
Description: bacterial LSU rRNA
Rfam family: Bacterial large subunit ribosomal RNA
Source: RNAcentral
GUUGUAUAGUCAAGUAAUUAAGUGCAUGUGGUGGAUGCCUUGGCAGUCAGAGGCGAUGAAAGACGUGAUAGCCUGCGAAAAGCUCCGGGGAGGCGGCAAAUAUCCUUUGAUCCGGAGAUGUCUGAAUGGGGGAACCCACCUACUUUAAGGUAGGUAUUGCAACAUGAAUACAUAGUGUUGCAAGGCGAACGAGGGGAAGUGAAACAUCUCAGUACCCUUAGGAAAAGAAAUCAAUUGAGAUUCCCUCAGUAGCGGCGAGCGAACGGGGAUCAGCCCAUUAAGUUAUGUGUGUUUUAGUGGAACGCUCUGGGAAGUGCGAACGUAGAGGGUGAUAUUCCCGUACACGAAAGGGCACACAUAAUGAUGACGAGUAGGGCGAGGCACGUGAAACCUUGUCUGAAUAUGGGGGGACCAUCCUCCAAGGCUAAAUACUCCUGACUGACCGAUAGUGAACCAGUACCGUGAGGGAAAGGCGAAAAGAACCCCUGUGAGGGGAGUGAAAUAGAUCCUGAAACCGCAUGCAUACAAGCAGUGGGAGCACCUUCGUGGUGUGACUGCGUACCUUUUGUAUAAUGGGUCAGCGACUUAUAUUCAGUAGCGAGGUUAACCGUAUAGGGGAGCCGUAGAGAAAUCGAGUCUUAAUAGGGCGUUUAGUUGCUGGGUAUAGACCCGAAACCAGGCGAUCUAUCCAUGAGCAGGUUGAAGGUUGGGUAACACUAACUGGAGGACCGAACCCACUGUCGUUGAAAAGCCAGGGGAUGACUUGUGGAUAGGGGUGAAAGGCUAAUCAAGCCUGGUGAUAGCUGGUUCUCCCCGAAAGCUAUUUAGGUAGCGCCUCGGACGAAUACCAUAGGGGGUAGAGCACUGUUUCGGCUAGGGGGUCAUCCCGACUUACCAAACCGAUGCAAACUCCGAAUACCUAUGAGUACUAUCCGGGAGACAGACUGCGGGUGCUAACGUCCGUAGUCAAGAGGAAAACAAUCCAGACCGCCAGCUAAGGCCCCAAAAUCAUAGUUAAGUGGGAAACGAUGUGGGAAGGCAUAGACAGCUAGGAGGUUGGCUUAGAAGCAGCCACCCUUUAAAGAAAGCGUAAUAGCUCACUAGUCGAGUCGGCCUGCGCGGAAGAUGUAACGGGGCUAAAACUAUGUGCCGAAGCUGCGGAUGUAUACUUUGUAUACGUGGUAGGGGAGCGUUCUGUAAGCCGAUGAAGGUGUGUUGAGAAGCAUGCUGGAGGUAUCAGAAGUGCGAAUGCUGACGUGAGUAACGACAAAACGGGUGAAAAACCCGUUCGCCGAAAGACCAAGGGUUCCAGUCCAACGUUAAUCGGGGCUGGGUGAGUCGACCCCUAAGGCGAGGCCGAAAGGCGUAGUCGAUGGGAAAAUGGUUAAUAUUCCAUUACUUCUGUGUAAUGCGAUGAGAGGACGGAGAAGGCUAAAUCAGCCUGGCGUUGGUUGUCCAGGUGAAAGGAUGUAGGCAUGUAUCUUAGGCAAAUCCGGGGUACUCUAUGCUGAGAUCUGAUAGCAAGCUGUACUUGUACAGCGAAGUGGUUGAUGCCAUGCUUCCAGGAAAAGUCUCUAAGCUUCAGUUACACAGGAAUCGUACCCGAAACCGACACAGGUGGUCAGGUCGAGUAGACCAAGGCGCUUGAGAGAACUCUGCUGAAGGAACUAGGCAAAAUGGUACCGUAACUUCGGGAGAAGGUACGCUGUUGUUGGUGAUGGAACUCGCUUCCUGAGCUGACGACAGCCGCAGAAACCAGGCCGCUGCAACUGUUUAUUAAAAACAUAGCACUCUGCAAACACGAAAGUGGACGUAUAGGGUGUGAUGCCUGCCCGGUGCUGGAAGGUUAAUUGAUGGGGUUAGCGUAAGCGAAGCUCUUGAUCGAAGCCCCAGUAAACGGCGGCCGUAACUAUAACGGUCCUAAGGUAGCGAAAUUCCUUGUCGGGUAAGUUCCGACCUGCACGAAUGGCAUAAUGAUGGCGGCGCUGUCUCCAGCAGAGGCUCAGUGAAAUCGAAAUCGCUGUGAAGAUGCAGUGUACCCGCGGCUAGACGGAAAGACCCCGUGAACCUUUACUGCAGCUUGACACUGAACUUUGACCUUACUUGUGUAGGAUAGGUGGGAGGCUUUGAAGCUGGAACGCUAGUUCCAGUGGAGCCGUCCUUGAAAUACCACCCUGGUAAUGUUGAGGUUCUAACUCUGUCCCGUGAUCCGGGACGAGGACCGUGUCUGGUGGGUAGUUUGACUGGGGCGGUCUCCUCCUAAAGAGUAACGGAGGAGUACGAAGGUGCGCUCAGCGUGGUCGGAAAUCACGCGUAGAGUAUAAAGGCAAAAGCGCGCUUAACUGCGAGACCCAACAAGUCGAGCAGGUACGAAAGUAGGUCUUAGUGAUCCGGUGGUUCUGUAUGGAAGGGCCAUCGCUCAACGGAUAAAAGGUACUCUGGGGAUAACAGGCUGAUACCGCCCAAGAGUUCAUAUCGACGGCGGUGUUUGGCACCUCGAUGUCGGCUCAUCUCAUCCUGGGGCUGAAGCAGGUCCCAAGGGUAUGGCUGUUCGCCAUUUAAAGAGGUACGCGAGCUGGGUUUAGAACGUCGUGAGACAGUUCGGUCCCUAUCUACCGUGGGCGCUGGAAAUUUGAGAGGAUCUGCUCCUAGUACGAGAGGACCAGAGUGGACGAACCUCUGGUGUACCGGUUGUGACGCCAGUCGCAUCGCCGGGUAGCUAUGUUCGGAAGGGAUAACCGCUGAAAGCAUCUAAGCGGGAAGCCUACCUCAAGAUAAGAUUUCCCUAGGACUUUAUGUCCUCUAAAGAGCCGUUCGAGACUAGGACGUUGAUAGGUUGGAUGUGGAAGCAUAGUGAUAUGUGAAGCUGACCAAUACUAAUUGCUCGUGAGGCUUGACUAUACAACACCCAAGCAGUUG